Molecule: ribosomal RNA, 499 nt
Filed under: uncultured organism
Description: bacterial SSU rRNA
Rfam family: Bacterial small subunit ribosomal RNA
Source: RNAcentral
AACGAACGUUAGCGGCGCGCCUAACACAUGCAAGUCGAGCGAGAAAGGGAGCAAUCCCCGGUAAAGCGGCGCACGGGUGAGUAACACGUAGGUAAUCUACCUCCGAGUGGGGGAUAACCUUCCGAAAGGAGGGCUAAUACCGCAUGAGACCACGCCUUCGAGAGGAGGAGAGGUCAAAGCCGGCCACUAUACAUAAGCUGGCGCUUGGAGAUGAGCCUGCGGCCCAUCAGCUAGUUGGUAGGGUAAUGGCCUACCAAGGCUAAGACGGGUAGCUGGUCUGAGAGGAUGAUCAGCCACACUGGAACUGAGACACGGUCCAGACUCCUACGGGAGGCAGCAGUGGGGAAUCUUGCGCAAUGGGCGAAAGCCUGACGCAGCGACGCCGCGUGAGUGAUGAAGGCCCUCGGGUUGUAAAGCUCUGUGGAGGGGGAAGAAUAAGGGUGACCUAACACGUCAUCCGAUGACGGUACCCCUUUAGCAAGCACCGGCUAACUCUGUG